GGGUCAGUAGGUUGGUCGUGCCACCGGUACGUACUGGUCUCACUGAUUCCUCCCUCCUGGAGAACCGUAAUGCCAUUAAUUUGGUGUUGCGGGGAAACAGGACUGUUACUUUGAAAAAAUUAGAGUGUUUAAAGCAAGCUAACGCUUGAAUACAUUAGCAUGGAAUAAUGAAAUAGGACGAUCGAUCCUAUUUUGUUGGUUUCUAGGAUUGACGUA
RNAcentral lists this ribosomal RNA (216 nucleotides) under Glomeromycotina sp. RNAcentral describes it as "partial small subunit ribosomal RNA". The stretch from base 75 to 216 matches the Rfam family "Eukaryotic small subunit ribosomal RNA", at positions 721 to 864 of the family's 1831-position model. Lineage: Eukaryota; Fungi; Glomeromycota. The record is from RNAcentral.